Molecule: non-coding RNA, 3926 nt
Organism: Callithrix jacchus (white-tufted-ear marmoset)
Lineage: Eukaryota; Metazoa; Chordata; Mammalia; Primates; Cebidae
Source: RefSeq, a predicted model, not a curated record
AUCCCAGAACUUUGGGAGGCUGAGGUAGGUGGAUCACAAGGCCAGGAGAUUGAGACCAUCCUGGCCAACAUGGUGAAACCCCGUCUCUACUAAAUUUGAGUCAAGGCCCAGUGAUAUAACAAAGUGCCCAUGCGGGCAAUGCCCAGGCAGGAGAAUAAUGUCACAUCGCAUAGGUUCUGGGUUAAGUGAUAUGUCGCCAUUCCACCUGUUGGCCGUGCCCAGGUAGGAAAGUCAAAUCGCUCAGGUACUGGGCAAAGAAAUAUUUUACAAUCACACCUGCAUAAACGUCCCGGGAGAAAAUUAACAAUUUUGCACACGUCCCGGUUCUAGGUAUUAGAGUCAGCACCUCCUGUAUGUUGGGUGUAAGUACAUGAGACGUGAGUCACAGUCUCAACAGGGGCCUGGAUCUGUGCUUGGAGCCACGAUCCCUCAAGUCCACCGCAUAUUCUUCACAGAGUCACAGCCUCACAGGCAUGCUGAAUCUUGGUCGGAGAGUCACCAGCCCACCUGUGGACCAGAUCCACGUACGGGAGUCAAUUUUCCAACCUUUGACUGCCCCCAGGGACCACUGACAUUUAGGGAUGUGGCCAUAGAGUUCUCUCUAGAGGAGUGGCAAUGCCUGGACACUGCACAACGGAAUUUAUAUAGGAAAGUGAUGUUUGAGAACUACAGAAAUCUGGUCUUCCUGGGUAUUGCUGUCUCUAAGCCUCACCUGAUAACCUGUUUGGAGCAAGGACAAGAGCCCUGGAAUAGGAAAAGACAGGAGAUGGUAGCCAAGCCCCCAGUUAUGUGUUCUCAUGUUGCUGAAGAUCUUUGGCCAGAGCAUAGAAUAAAAGAUUCUUUCCAAAAAAUGAUACUGAGAGGAUACGGAAAAUGUGGACAUGAGAAUUUACAAUUAAGAAUAAGCUGUAAAAGUGUGGAUGAGUAUAAGGUGUACAAAGGAGGUUAUAAUGAACUUAACCGAUGUUUGACAACUACCCAGAGCAAAAUAUUUCAAUGUGAUAAAUACGUGAAAGUCUUUCAUAAAUUUUCAAAUUCAAAUAGUCAUAAGAUAAAUACUGGAAAGAAAUUUUUCAAAUGUAAAGAAUGUGGCAAAUCAUUUUAUAUGCUUUCACACCUAACACAACAUAUAAGAAUUCACACUAGAGAGAAUUCCUACAAAUGUGAGGAAUGUGGCAAAGUUCUUAACUGGUUCUCAGAGCUUAUUAAACAUAAGAGAAUUCAUAUGGGAGAGAAACCCUACCAAUGUGAAGAAUGUGGCAAAGCCUUUAACCAAUCCUCAACCCUUAUUAAACAUAAGAAAAUUCAUAUUGAAGAGAAACCCUACAAAUGUGAAGAAUGUGGCAAAGGCUUUAGUUUAUUCUCAAUCCUUAGUAAACAUAAGAUAAUUCAUACUGGAGACAAACCUUACAAAUGUAAUGAAUGUCACAAAGCCUUUAACUGGUUUGCCACCCUUACUAACCAUAAGAGAAUUCAUACUGGAGAGAAACCCUUCAAAUGUGAAGAAUGUGGCAAAGAGUUUAACCAGUUUUCAAACCUUACUAAACAUAAGAAAAUUCAUACUGGAGAGAAACCCUACAAAUGUGAAGAAUGUGGGAAAGCUUUUAACCAGUUUGCAAACCUUACUAGACAUAAGAAAAUUCAUACUGGAGAGAAAUCCUACAAAUGUAAAGAAUGUGGCAAAGCUUUUAUACAAUCCUCAAACCUUACUGAACAUAUGAGAAUUCAUACUGGAGAGAAACCCUACAAAUGUGAAGAAUGUGGCAAAGCUUUUAAUGGGUGCUCCAGCCUUACUCGACAUAAAAGAAUUCAUACUAGAGAGAAUACCUAUAAAUGUGAAGAAUGUGGCAAAGGCUUUACUUUAUUUUCAACCCUUACUAACCAUAAGUUAAUUCAUACAGGAGAGAAAUCCUACAAAUGUGAUGAAUGUGGCAAUGUUUUUAACUGGCCCGCAACUCUUGCUAAUCAUAAGAGAAUUCAUGCCAGAGAGAAACCCUACAAAUGUGAAGAAUGUGGCAAAGCUUUUAACCGGUCCUCACACCUUACUAGACAUAAGAAAAUUCAUACUGGUGAGAAACUCUACAAACCUGAAAGAUGUGACAAUGAUUUUGACAAUACCUAAAACUUUUCUAAACAUAAAAGAAACCAUCCUGUUGAGAAACCCUAAAUAUGCGAAGAAUUUGAGAAAGCCUUCCAAUGAUUGUUACACUUGAUUGUAGACUCCACACAGCAAAAGCAAGAGUAAGCAAAAAGAAGAAAUCUAGAGGCGUCACAUUACCUGACUUCAAACUAUACUAUAAAGCUAUAGUCACCAAGCACCAAGGUGCUGGUAUACAAAUAGUCACAUAGACUAUAAACAUGUGUGUAACACCUUUUCCACUUAACCAGAAUGUUUUCAACUUGGCCUUUCCCUGUACUCUCUGCUUGUCCAGAGACUGAAGGUAAAAUAGACGUCAGAAAGUAGCGUCUUGCUCUGUUUUUUUCUGAGCCAGCACCUGGCCCUAAUCCUGUACCUUGCCUGCUAGAUCCUCUUAACUAUAUGGACACUUUUUAAUGAUCUUAUUCCCAAAGAAUUGCACUCUCCGUUCUUUCCUGUUAGGAAUUUCAGUGUGACUUCUUUUUGUUUCAAAGAAAUGCCUUUGCCCCAGGUUAUUGAUUUGAAAUCCUUUUUCGUGAAGAAAUUGACUGCCAUUAAUUGCUGCAUCUUGCAUGUUUUGUUAUGUUAAGUAAACAUUUUUAUUCAUUUGAAAUGUUUCCAAUUUUAAAGUUUUUGACACUUUGGCCAUUAGGAAUUUCAUUGCUUAGUUUUUGCAUACCUGUGGCUUAUCCAAAUUUCCCGAUGUCAUUUAUUUUUAAUUUUAUUCCAUUGCAGUCAGAGAAAAUACUUUUCAUUUACACAAUUCUUUUAAUUGUAUUGUGUGUGUAAUCACCUAGAAUAUAGUUUAUUCUGAAGAAGAGUGCAGGGGCACUUACUACAAAUGUGUAGUCUAUGUCUGUUAGGUGGAACAGACGAUACAAAUGUGCUAGGUCUCAGUGGUUUUGUUUUCAAGUCUGUUUACUCUUUGACCUGUCGGCUGUUUUUCAAAUUAUUACUGAGAGUGAAGUAUUUAAAUCCCUGUUAUUUUUUAUUCUCUCUUUCUGGAUUUAUUUUUGUCAGACUUUGCCUCAUAUAUUUUGUUUUCUUGCCUGUUGGUUGAUGAUUGUUACAUCUUCCUAAGGAAUUGACUUUUUUUGGUCAAUUUUAAAUGUCUCAUUUUACACCUAGGCAUGUGUUUAUUUCUUUUUAUUUGUUUAUUUUACUUAUAUUUUAAAUUGAGAUGGAGUUUCACUACCAGGUUCAAGUGACUCUUCUGCCUCAGCCUCCCAAAUAGCUGGGAUUACAGGCAUGCACUAUCAGGCCAGGCUAAUUUUGUAUUUUUGAUAGAAACGGGGUUUCUUCCUGUUGGUCAGGCUGGUCUCUAACUCCUGAACUUAGGGUAUCCAUCCACCUUGGCCUCCCAAAGUGCUGGGAUUACAGGCAAGAGCCACCACGCCUAAAUUCUUUUUUAAUUGUGGAAUUGCAACUACAAUUUCAUUAUGGCUGCUCUUUGCAAGCUUUUAUUCUUUCACUUCUACACAAUUUGUUUAUUUGGAUCCAAAGCAAUUGUGCUGUAGACAGCAUAUAUUUGUAUCUCAUUUUUAUAUUUUGUAUUUUGUCUAACAAUCUCAAUUUUUAUUUAAUUCAACUUUUUAUAUUUAGUAUUAUUUAUAUAUUUGGAUUUAUUUUUUGUAUCAUUUUUGUUUUCUACAUAUCACAUGUGUAUUUUAUUUCUUUUUCUACUUCAUUUUGCAUGAAGAAGGCAUUUUUAUGUAACAUUGCAUUUUUAAAAAUAAUUUUUAAUAUAUAUUUGGAUCUAUCACUUGUUCUUUUAGGGCUUCUGAUAUAC